GCUUGCGGCUGGAUCCCCUCCUUUCUAAGGAGAAUCCCGUCCUUUCGGGGAGCGGGAUAGGUCAACUGUUGUGUGGCCGUUUCGGCGGUUGCGCAGCGGACGCAAGCGAGGAACCAAUCACAUCACUUCCGGAGCGAGGCGGGGUACUGCAGAUCUGUUGAACGGUCGGGGUCGUAGCUCAGUUGGGAGAGCGCAAGCUUUGCAAGCUUGAGGUCACGGGUUCGAGGCCCGUCGGCUCCACCAGUCCCGGCGCCUGUCGAGGUGUGGUACGGGGCGGGUGGUUGUCGGCCCGUCGAUUGCGGCUGGGGCUGUUGGUUGCCGCUCCAACCGGGCGUGUAGCUCAGUUGGUUAGAGCGCAUCCCUGAUAAGGAUGAGGUCCCUGGUUCGAAUCCAGGCACGCCCACCAACUCGCGCGCGUCGGGCGGUACGGAUCCGGCAUCUGGAUGCCAGGUCCCGGAGGAAUCCGGGGGUUGGGAUACGGAUACCGGGACGGCGCGAGUCGUUUCAUUGUUCUUUGAAAAUUGCAUAGCAAGGGUAGAAAGCUAUAGGUGCCUUGAGAUUCUUGUGAUCUCAACGGGAGCUUGGGCAGGAAUUUGUUCAAGCUACCAAGGGCACACGGCGGAUGCCUUGGCAUCGGUAGGCGAUGAAGGACGUGGUAAGCUGCGAAAAGCUUCGGGGAACGGCAAGCACGUGUUGAUCCGGAGAUGUCCGAAUGGGGAAACCCGGAAGC
Molecule: unclassified non-coding RNA, 730 nt
Filed under: uncultured bacterium
Lineage: Bacteria
Description: partial contains 16S ribosomal RNA, 16S-23S ribosomal RNA intergenic spacer, and 23S ribosomal RNA
Rfam family: Bacterial large subunit ribosomal RNA (bases 596-730)
Source: RNAcentral